AUGAGUUCACACACUGGGAAUGUGCUGCUGUCAGGAAGGGCCACUCAUUUACAGCCUGCAUACACCAUACAGCCAACUCUAACCUACACAAGAGAUGAAAGAGGAAUUGAGUUUGCAAAAGCAAGGCUGUUACUGGAUAUUCAGAAAACAGAAAGGUGCUGGAAAAGAAAGACUUUGGCAAAUUUAAUGGAGUAUUUAGUAGGGCAAUGCAAGCUCAAGGAACAGGCAGUACCCCUAGGAACUGGGGCAUGGGGACCAUGCUGGCAUGGAGUGAAGGAUUCAGUUCUGGGCUUCUGGACCUUGCUUGGAUUCCAGAUCGUCCCAUGA
Molecule: long non-coding RNA, 327 nt
Filed under: Cyanistes caeruleus (blue tit)
Lineage: Eukaryota; Metazoa; Chordata; Aves; Passeriformes; Paridae
Description: lncRNA (ENSCCEG00000023592.1)
Source: RNAcentral